Molecule: long non-coding RNA, 1928 nt
Organism: Triticum dicoccoides
Lineage: Eukaryota; Viridiplantae; Streptophyta; Magnoliopsida; Poales; Poaceae
Exons: 3
Source: RefSeq, a predicted model, not a curated record
GUAUCCCUAACCUCAUCCCCACCAUCCCAUCCAUCGCCUGCAAUGGAUCCGCCGCCGCCCUGAUCCCGACCAUCCGCCGCCGCUCCCUGCACCAUCCACCGCCGCUGCUCACCCCCAUCACCUCCAUAGCCACCAUGGACCAUCUCUCUCCUCGCUCCUCUCUCUUGGAUCAGCAUGCGGCGACGGAUGCUUCCGGUCGCGUGGUCGUGAUGCGGCUGGUCGGGGAACGAUGUUACUGUGACAGGUGCUCUGCUCUCCUGCGGUAGCGAUGCGUAUGGCGACAACAAUGUCCUUUUGUUCCCCUCCACUCUUCGGACCGCCAAUGCACGGAAGUAUGCGGAGAAAAUAACGCUCCGCUCAGAAAAUUCGUGUUCUAAGUGGCUGCUCGGCAAGAGCUUGUGCCGGAUGUUCAUCAUCAACGCCAGUGAGGGGUUCAGGCUCCUGUUGAACUCAUGGCAUCAGCCAUAUGGACCUGCAUGUAUUUGAUAGUUUGCUCAAUCAGAUUUAUCCCUUCAACCACAGCUGAGGCUACCACACUACUUCAUUGACAUUUCUUUCCUACAGGACAUGGAUUUAUAAUCUCCAACAAUACGGUCAUGCUUCUUAUAUUUACUUUCAGUUCUAAAUACAUUUGUGAUUUUCUAUAUGCUGUCUUACUAAACUGUGUGUGCUAAACCAACCAUAUAGUAUAUAGAAAGGAUUCUAAAAUGUUAGCUUAUAUUGCAAACUCUUCAAAAUAUGCGGUCGUUUUACUGUUUUUGCCGUGAACUUGGGGAGCUUGGGACAGAGUAUGGUGUCAAUAAUCAGUAUAUACCAGAACAAUAUUUUUGUGAUAUUGUAUAUACUGACUUAGUGAUAAUGGAAUAUUUACCAAAUUUUUGCCAUGGGAUCUAUACUGCACUUUUGAAUUGGUUAGAAUAGCUGCGCCUUUUUUAUCUUCCUUGCUGUAUAUGCUACCAUCAAAGGGAGUAUAUAAGGUACUAAUUUCAAGUAUAUACUAUUGUACUACAUUUUGUCUAUAUACAUCUACAAAUUGUACUACAUUUUGUCUACAUUUUGUCUAUAUACAUUUUGUCUAUAUACAUCUACAUAUUGUACUACAUUUUAUCUUCCUUGCUGUAUGUGCACUGCUCUUUGUGCACGGCAGUAUAUACAUCAUUUUUUGUAAGGCAAUAUAUAACAGCUUUUUUGUGAACCAGUAUACUACUUUUCUUAGUCAGUAUAUAUAUACAUAAUCUUUUAGUCGAUAUAUACUACUUUUCUUUAGUCGGUAUAUACUACUGUUCUUGAUACAAAGGGUAAAGCAGCGCACACAUGACACACAGCAGCCGUUGUCGACUAGACGGUGGUGCCGCUGAAUGGAUCUAUCAGUGCAUGCCAUGCCACCACCGUUUCUUAUUGUUGCCGUUGUUGAUGAGGUUGGCAGUGUCGUCGCAUGGGUCGAUCAGUGCACACCAUGCUGCCAUGUUGUUGACGAGAUGGUGGUGCCAUCUUAUCCAUCGAUGCUAUGUGACUAGCUUCGUCAAUGGCUUUGCACCUUGAUCCAGAUUGUUUUCAUGCAAACCUGUCAUGUUUGCCUAUUAAUGACCACAUCAGCUAAGUCAUCUCUCUCUCUCUCUCUCUCUCUCUCUCUCUCUCUCUGUCUCUCUCUACUACUACUACUGCAACUAACUAACUGUGAUGAUCUUCUCCAGGUUUUUUGGCUGGAUACUGAGAUGGCACCAUUGUGCUGCUGAAGUUAAACCCUGUUUAUUGGGACGUACAAGCGGGCGGCAAGCACACAUGGCGGCCGGAGACAAGCCAUAUUUUUCCAAUGACAGCUGCUAGGAUUGAUGUCCUAUUGCCGGAGAAACAAUGCCAACCGUCGUCGGUCGCACCGUUUUGUCCAUCUAUGAUAUCAUCCAUGUCUAUUAUUUUGUUGACAAUCA